CAGAAAAUCACUGAUUGUGUCAUUACUGUCUUCCACUGUUGUGGGUCAGAGCAGCAAAGAUCACAAGGAAGAUCACUGAUCAGAUCAGGAAAAUGCACAUCUCUGUGUCUCUCCUCUUCCUCUUCAUUGGCUCAACCUCUGCCAAAAAGCAAGGAGAUUUCGGCAUUUUUGAAGCUUGCUUAAAGAACAAAACCAGCCUCAGGUUCAGUCUUCCAGUAUCUUCAUGAAUG
Molecule: long non-coding RNA, 230 nt
Organism: Acanthochromis polyacanthus (spiny chromis)
Lineage: Eukaryota; Metazoa; Chordata; Actinopteri; Pomacentridae
Exons: 3
Source: RefSeq, a predicted model, not a curated record